UCUCCUGUAGCUCAGUGGUAGAGCAUCUGACCGUGUGCGGAAGGUCAUAGGUUCAACUCCUGUUGGGGGAA
This 71-nucleotide transfer RNA is filed under the name Desmophyllum pertusum. RNAcentral's name for it is "Lophelia pertusa tRNA". It matches the Rfam family "tRNA". From Rfam's summary of the family: Transfer RNA (tRNA) molecules are approximately 80 nucleotides in length. Their secondary structure includes four short double-helical elements and three loops (D, anti-codon, and T loops). Lineage: Eukaryota; Metazoa; Cnidaria; Anthozoa; Scleractinia; Caryophylliidae. The record is from Rfam by way of RNAcentral.